RNAcentral lists this long non-coding RNA (2889 nucleotides) under Homo sapiens (human). RNAcentral's name for it is "HSALNT0272236". Lineage: Eukaryota; Metazoa; Chordata; Mammalia; Primates; Hominidae. The record is from RNAcentral.
GCGGGAGGGACAAUGAUCGGGAUAGAAACCCAGGCAUUCAAGCCGGAAUGGCUACCCUCUUUGGGUCCCCUCCCUUUGUAUGGGAGCUCUGUUUUCACUCUAUUCAAUCUUGCAACUGCACUCUUCUGGUCCGUGUUUGUUACAGCUUGAGCUGAGCUUUCGCUCGCCUUCCACCACUGCUGUUUGCCGCCAUCGCAGACCUGCCGUGCUGACUUCCAUCCCUCUAGAUCUGGCAGGGUGUCCGCUGUGCUCUUGAUCCAGCGAGGCGCCCAUUGCCGCUCCCGAUUGGGCUAAAGGCUUGCAAUUGUUCCUGCACGCUAAGUGCCUGGGUUCAUCCUCAUCAAGCUGGGUUCCACGGUUCUCUUCAUGACCCGCAGCUUCUAACAGAGCUAUAAAACUCUGUGCAUGGCCCAAGAUUCCAUUCCUUGGAAUCUGUGAGGCCAAGAACCCCAGGUCAGAGAACAGGAGGCUUGCCACCAUCUUGGAAGUGGCUCGCCACCAUCUUAGGAGCUCUGUGAGCGGAGACCCCCACCCCCCGGUAACAUUUUGGCGACCACGAAGGGACCUCCAAAGCGAGCUAGGGAGAUACCUGUGCCAACUCUGGCUUUGUUUGCUCUGCCAGACAAUCCUGAUGCUGCAAAGUCAAAUCAUCGUGAAGGAAGUUUGUGCAAAUGUGGGAAACAGGACUAUAAUCCUGCUUGAAGUUUGCUUAGAUUCCUGGGAAGUCUCCCUAUUCCAACCCUUUUUGAGAAAUGCCCACAGCUCAUAACCUACCUGAGGUUAUUUGGGUCUCAGGAAACACACAGCAUGUGCCAAUGUUCCAAGAAUGAAGCUCUGGUUCCCAGCUUCUGCUGCUCCAACUUCUAUAGCAGCAAGGAGAAAAGAGUAACAGACAUACUGAUCACAUCUAAUUAGAAGGAGGUUGUGUUCUGCUAAAGUCAAGAAGAAAACCAAGAAACAGGAAACCAUGAGAUGUAGCAGAAGAGGGAGGCAAAGUAAAAUCCUAGGAAGAUGCAACAAAAGUAUCAAGACCACAGCAAGCCUAGAUCAACCAGUCCAAGUCUGAAGGCCUGAGGACCAGGAGCACUGAUGAUACUGAGAAAACGUGGUCCUUUUGUCGGUAAAAGAGUUUGGUAUAACAACAUCAAUGCAUGCGGGAAUUGUUCCUUUCUGCCUAAAGUACAGUUUUGGGCUUCUCUGAAGACAUGUCAUUUUACCCAAGACCUGAAAGAUGAGGAUGGUCAAGCCCUAUCACAAAACAAGUGAAGAUGUCCAGGCAAGUAUUCCAAAAUGAAUAAAGAACCUAGAGUGAACAUCAUACAUUCAGGAUCCUCCUCAAGAAAGAAAAUAUGACUGAAACCAUUGAUGGCCUCAACAUAUUCUUCUACAAUUGAUUUGUUCAUUAUCUUUUAAUGGACAUUUUGCUCUGAGUGAGAAAGAGAGAGAGGCCGGGAGGGGGGAAGGGCACAGAAUUGUAUAGGGUAUGCACAUUUACAAUUUUAUUUGAUUCACCAACUUGCUCUCAAACAGGGUUGAACCAAUUGUUGCUCUCAAGCAUGCAUAAGAUAUUCUGUUACUCUUUGCAAUCAGCCACAUUUACAGUAGUGUAUAGUAGUGCAUGUGCCGGUGUAGUGUGUGUGUGAGCGCAUGGGAGCGAGCGAGCGAGCGAGAGAGACAGAGAGAGAGAGGGAGGGGGGAGAAGUAGAGAGAGAGAGUUUUAAUUUGGCCAUUUUUAUGGAGAGAGAGAGAGAGGGAGGGAGGGAGAGGGGAGAAGUAGAGAGAGAAUUUUAAUUGGGCCAAGUUUAUGGAGGUAUGAAAUGAUUAUUUUUUUCUUAUGGUUUUUAGUUACAUGUCUCUUAUUACUGCUGAAGUUAGCACACUUUCAGAUAAACAUGCAGAAACACACCCACCAUUUGGAUGUCUUCCCUAGGAAUUGCCUGUACAUAAACCUUGACCUCUCUGCUUGGAUAGCUGACUUUUUAUCUUGUUGAUUCAUAGGAGUUAUUUACAUACUUUGGAUAAGAAUUCUUGCAGAUUAUGUUAUUUUUCCCAGAGCUUGGUUUUUUAUUUUCACAUACAUACUGCCUGUUUUAAUGAGAAGAAAUUUUAAAAGUAUCUACUUUUUAUCCUUAUCUUUCCUGUUUUAGCUAUUUAUAUCUUGUUUAAUAAACAUUUCUUUUCCCUGAGGCAACAGAGACAUUCAGACACAUUUAAAAAUUUUUACAUUUUCAGUAUUCACUUUUAGGUCCAACGUACCUUGAAUUCAUUUGUGUGUGUGUGUGUGUGUGUGUGUGUGUGUAUCCUGUAGGUAUGGAUCUAACUUAAUUUAUCACAGGAAUAACUGUCCCAGCUCCAUUUAAUGGCUACUGUGCCCUUUUCUACUGACCUGGUGCCUCUGUCACAUGUUGAGUUUCCAACUGAUUCAGCACUCUGUAUUUCAGCUCUUCACUGUGUGGCCUUAGAUUUGUCGCCUGUGGAUUACUAUUUAAAUGUUCAUUGUUUUACCUUUAAAUAAAAUUUCUUUUAGAACAGGGUAAUUCCUUCUCUUUUUUGGCUCCUCCUUGCUCCUUCCACUUUCCUUCCCUCCUCCUCACACUUCUCUUUGUCUUAUGAAAUUAUCUUGCCAAUUUUUUGAACGUUUGCCCAUCCAGUCAAGUAACAAAGACUUAGAUACAUUCAUGGAGAAGUGACCUUGUUGAAAAUUGAGAAAUGGCUGCUUUCUCAAUUUCUGCAAGUCUUUAAAAGUGUCUUUCAAGAAUUAUAUAUCAUUUUUACCCUACAACUAAUAAAGAAAUGACAAUUUUAUUAUUAUUAUGGAUCCAGUAUAUCCUUAAUAAUUAUUUUUAGUAUAAAAUCUGUUUUAUUACAUCAAUAUAGUUUGAAUAUUUU